Molecule: ribosomal RNA, 301 nt
Filed under: uncultured bacterium
Lineage: Bacteria
Description: partial 16S ribosomal RNA
Rfam family: Bacterial small subunit ribosomal RNA
Source: RNAcentral
CAGUCGCCGCGGGAAUACGUAGGUCCCGAGCGUUGUCCGGAUUUAUUGGGCGUAAAGGGCUCGCAGGCGGUUUCUUAAGUCUGAUGUGAAAGCCCCCGGCUCAACCGGGGAGGGUCAUUGGAAACUGGGAGACUUGAGUGCAGAAGAGGAGAGUGGAAUUCCACGUGUAGCGGUGAAAUGCGUAGAGAUGUGGAGGAACACCAGUGGCGAAGGCGACUCUCUGGUCUGUAACUGACGCUGAGGAGCGAAAGCGUGGGGAGCGAACAGGAUUAGAUACCCGUGUAGUCCCUGUCUCUUAUAC